RNAcentral lists this ribosomal RNA (460 nucleotides) under uncultured bacterium. Its description in RNAcentral is "partial 16S ribosomal RNA". It matches the Rfam family "Bacterial small subunit ribosomal RNA", at positions 338 to 795 of the family's 1533-position model. The record is from RNAcentral.
CCUACGGGCGGCAGCAGUGAGGAAUAUUGGUCAAUGGACGAGAGUCUGAACCAGCCAAGUAGCGUGAAGGAUGACUGCCCUAUGGGUUGUAAACUUCUUUUAUAUGGGAAUAAAAUGUUUCACGUGUGGGAUUAUGUAUGUACCAUAUGAAUAAGGAUCGGCUAACUCCGUGCCAGCAGCCGCGGUAAUAUGGAGGAUCCGAGGGUUAUCCGGAUUUAUUGGGUUUAAAGGGAGCGUAGGUGGAUUGUUAAGUUAGUUGUGAAAGUUUGGGGCUCAACCGUAAAAUUGCAGUUGAAACUGGCAGUCUUGAGUACAGUAGAGGGGGGCAGAAUUCGUGGUGUAGCGGUGAAAUGCUUAGAGAUCUCGAAGAACUCCGAUUGCGAAGGCGGCUCACUGGACUGCGACUGACACUGAGGCGCGAAAGUGUGGGUAUCAAACAGGAUUAGAUACCCUGGUAGUC